AUACGUAGGGGGCGAGCGUUGUCCGGAAUUACUGGGCGUAAAGGGUGCGUAGGCGGCCAUAUAAGUCAGGUGUGAAAAACCACGGCUUAACCGAGGUAUUGCACAUGAAACUGUGUGGCUUGAGUACAGGAGAGGAAAGUGGAAUUCCUAGUGUAGCGGUGAAAUGCGUAGAGAUUAGGAAGAACACCAGUGGCGAAGGCGGCUUUCUGGACUGUAACUGACGCUGAGGCACGAAAGCGUGGGGAGCAAACAGGAGUAGAUACCCUGGUAGUCCACGCUGUAAACGAGGGAUACGAGGUGUAGGGGUUUAAAGACUUCUGUGCCGGAGUUAACGCAAUAAGUAUCCCGCCUGGGGAGUACGGCCGCAAGGCUGGA
RNAcentral lists this ribosomal RNA (375 nucleotides) under uncultured bacterium. Its description in RNAcentral is "bacterial SSU rRNA". It matches the Rfam family "Bacterial small subunit ribosomal RNA", at positions 523 to 898 of the family's 1533-position model. The record is from RNAcentral.